GGUAGCACAGAGAGCUUGCUCUCGGGUGACGAGUGCGGACGGGUGAGUAAUGUCUGGGAAACUGCUGAUGGAGGGGGAUAACUACUGGAAACGGUAGCUAAUACCGCAUAACGUCGCAAGACCAAAGAGGGGGACCUUUCGGGCCUCUUGCCAUCAGAUGUGCCCAGAUGGGAUUAGCUAGUAGGUGGGGUAACGGCUCACCUAGGCGACGAUCCCUAGCUGGUCUGAGAGGAUGACCAGCCACACUGGAACUGAGACACGGUCCCAGACUCCUACGGGAGGCAGCAGUGGGGAAUAUUGCACAAUGGGCGCAAGCCUGAUGCAGCCAUGCCGCGUGUAUGAAGAAGGCCUUCGGGUUGUAAAGUACUUUCAGCGGGGAGGAAGGUGUUGUGGUUAAUAACCRCAGCAAUUGACGUUACCCGCAGAAGAAGCACCGGCUAACUCCGUGCCAGCAGCCGCGGUAAUACGGAGGGUGCAAGCGUUAAUCGGAAUUACUGGGCGUAAAGCGCACGCAGGCGGUCUGUCAAGUCGGAUGUGAAAUCCCCGGGCUCAACCUGGGAACUGCAUUCGAAACUGGCAGGCUAGAGUCUUGUAGAGGGGGGUAGAAUUCCAGGUGUAGCGGUGAAAUGCGUAGAGAUCUGGAGGAAUACCGGUGGCGAAGGCGGCCCCCUGGACAAAGACUGACGCUCAGGUGCGAAAGCGUGGGGAGCAAACAGGAUUAGAUACCCUGGUAGUCCACGCCGUAAACGAUGUCGACUUGGAGGUUGUGCCCUUGAGGCGUGGCUUCCGGAGCUAACGCGUUAAGUCGACCGCCUGGGGAGUACGGCCGCAAGGUUAAAACUCAAAUGAAUUGACGGGGGCCCGCACAAGCGGUGGAGCAUGUGGUUUAAUUCGAUGCAACGCGAAGAACCUUACCUACUCUUGACAUCCAGAGAACUUUCCAGAGAUGGAUUGGUGCCUUCGGGAACUCUGAGACAGGUGCUGCAUGGCUGUCG
RNAcentral lists this ribosomal RNA (995 nucleotides) under Enterobacter sp. Its description in RNAcentral is "bacterial SSU rRNA". It matches the Rfam family "Bacterial small subunit ribosomal RNA", at positions 64 to 1054 of the family's 1533-position model. Lineage: Bacteria; Pseudomonadati; Pseudomonadota; Gammaproteobacteria; Enterobacterales; Enterobacteriaceae. The record is from RNAcentral.